Molecule: long non-coding RNA, 3612 nt
Organism: Ictalurus punctatus (channel catfish)
Lineage: Eukaryota; Metazoa; Chordata; Actinopteri; Siluriformes; Ictaluridae
Exons: 6
Source: RefSeq, a predicted model, not a curated record
GGAUUAUUCCUGCACCACCUCUGCACUGUCAGUAAUUAAUUUCACGGGAGAAGAGGCGACGGAGCUCCAGGAGGAAGAGCCUCAGCCUGGAUGGAGUGGACUGUACGACCCCUGGAACAGGUCAGCUUCGAUUCCCACGGCUCUGUGUGUGCGGAGUUUGUAUGCCCCCCCCUGCUGCGGGGGUUUCCUCCCAUGCAUGGUAGGCUGAUUGGUGUGUCUAAAGUGUAGUAGUGUGUGAAUGUGUGCCCUGCGAUGGACUGGCACCCUGUCCAGGGUGUACCCCGCCUCGUGUACCCCGAUGCUCCUGGGAUAGGCUCCAGGUUCCCCUGCGACCCUGAAAAGGAUAAAGCGGUUGAAUGGAUGCGAUGGAUGGUUUUAAUUACCUUCCAAUUCUGCCCAAGGCAUUUUGCGCCACAUGGACUUCAAUCAUCGUCUGCUACACAUUUAAUCAACUGCCAUUUCCCCAAAGUCUUGUCAGGCUGGCAGAGAUGGAGGAAAAGCUCCGAGUAAUAGUUGAUGACUGAAUUGCGCAGUUGGUCCUUCCAUCAGGAAUCCCACCCACUGUGGAGGAACUGCAAACUGUUGUGGAGGAGAUUGGAAUUUCUGAUGAGUUCAGUCUCCAGUAUUUGGACUCGGAAUUUGAAGAAUACUUUGCUCUUCAUCAAAGUGACCAAAUUAAACACAAAGACACCAUAAAGGUUGUUCACGCCGCCCCGAUUCUUCUUAACUUGCUUCCUCUUGAUGAAAGUUUGGACAGUUCAUUUGGUCAAAAGUCAACUGACUGAGUCUGCAUCAAAUGCAGAGUCAUCUGCUGGAACAUCAUCUUCACAGGACACCAUUAUUCUGCCUAGGCGAAGUACCUCAGAACGAUGCCAACAAGGCCAAUGCAGUUCCCUAUUCCACAGUUUGCAUAUGAAACCAAGAUGUACCUUGAAAGAGCCACUGAAGAAUACAAGAAGAAUGGAACACUUCUGACUACCUCAAAGGUCAAGGCAGACAUACUUGAGAAGCUGUCUGAAACUAUAUACACAUUUACAGCUUAUCCAUCACGUGCACAGAUAAGUGAUGUUGCUGAGGCACUUGUCAAGAAAUAUCUUUUUCACAAAGAACCUGGCUCCUUCUCAGGUUGCUAUGGCUGGCAACAAAGCAUAAAAUACAAGAUACAAGGUGUUCCUGAGGUGAUAUGCGAUGCACUCAAACACGAGAGCCCUGAGGUCCAGAAGUCUGCAAAGAGUGUAAAAAAAACCUAGAAAGGCAGAGGAAAACUACCUCCCCCCUCACCCAGCAGAAUGUCAAGAACAAGAGAGGAUUCAGUUGCUUACUGAAGUAAGGAAGAGGGACAACAAGAAGUUGAUAAAAGAAAAAUGGCCAAAACAUUUGCACACAGAAGAAACGAAAUAGGUUGACAAUCACCCAGCAUAGAGGACAUCAAAGCCAGAUGGCCUGCUCUAUUUGAGGCAUCUCAUAUCCAGGAUGAGUUUCACAGAAUCACAAUGAUGCACCUUGAAUCAAAGUUCAUGUCCAAUCUGGAUAAAUACACUCCCAGGCUUCUGAAACUCUUCCAGUCCAAGGGUGGAACCAUGGGGUUAAGGUUACAGGCCAUCCUACUCAAGUGCCUUCCUGGAGACACAGCUGGUUCCCUGGAAACCUCAGAAAUGACUGUUUCAUUAGAUCGGUCCCUGAGACAGCACAUGAAGAAUAACUGAUGGAGGAUUGUUUAACCAUGUGGUGUUAAAAAUGGCAACUUUAAAGGAUGCUGAUGAAGACAGUGUAUUGCAGGACCUUACUGUACAAAGGAUUAAAAUCUACAUCAAGAGUAAUAUGUCGGAGGUUCCUGAUAACAUCAGUAUCGUGGUAGAGGACAUGAAAGUUCUGACAGCUCUUGGUAACUUUCCAAGGGCUUGCUCCAUGCUCCUUGGGUUGACCUAUGCAGUGAAUCUUGCCUAUCCCAAGGAGCUCAGGUAUAUGUUCGAAGUCUUCCAGAAACUCCUCCUUGAGCUGGAUUGUUCAAAGCUGUCCCCAAAACUGAACAGCCUCAAGAAUAAGCUACUAGCUUAAGAAAAUGGACCUUUGCAGGAUGAAAGGGAAUUGUUGCGGCACUGUCACAUGGUUACCUUCAAGGCUUUGUUAAAUGCUUGAGUUUCAUUGAUGCAGGUGGUUGUUCAGAUUUGAGGGGCGUGGCCCUCAGCCAACUAUAUUUGUACCUUCUGAGUCCACUGUGUACACCAGGGAUUCAGGGAUUUUUUGACAUGUUUUAAUUGAGGCUUUUGAAUUUGCACAAAUACAAAAUGUAAUUGUUCAAGUGAAUCCCAUUUUUGCAAGUGAAGAAGCAAGGCAAAUUGAAGUACUUCUGUCUGUUUUCUUAAAAUACAAAAUGCAUUUUAUUCUUGUACUGAUAUUUUAUUGUUUUAUUUUGGCAUUUUGCACUUGAAAAAUGUUGGGUAAACAUGUUGAGACAAAGUUUCACAAAUAAAUGUUUACCUUCUGUUAUUUUUAUGCAUGGUGAUCUGGUGACCCAACUUAAGUAAACUAUGGCACCACGAAGGCAUGAUAUUGGUUGGAUUAGAAAUAGAGAAAUGAAAGUGACAUUAAAUAUAUUUAAAGUCAUGUGACCAAUGAAGACUUUAAACAGUUAAUUAAGGUACAGAUAAAUAAGAGUAGCAUUGUAAGUGUGUUGAAUUAUGCAACAAUGUGCUCAAAUGAGUUAUAUAUAUAUUUUUUAUUUAGUGAACCGAAGUCAAUUUCACCCAGGUUAUUAGUAAAUAUAAAUCAAUUUCCAUAAGAUAUUCAGUAAAAUAUAAAUCAGUUUUCCCCAAAUACUUAGUAUAUUUAGAUUACUUUUGCUCAGAUACUUAGUAAAUAUUAAUCAGUUUUCCUUGUGAAAUUAAUUUGGAUUUACUCAAUAUUUUUGGGCUAUAUAACUCCUUUGGCACGCUAUUACUAAACUCAACAUAUUAAUUGUUGCUUUUAUUACCAUUGACUUAAUUUUUUUUUGUUUAAAUUUAGUUAAUUCAAUACUUUUUAAUCAAAGUUGUAGUAAUUAAAAUCUAUUCAGUUAUAUUAUGUGUCACUUUGUUCCCAUAUUUUUUUUAAGUAAGCAUUGGUCACAUUUUUUUUUACAAUGUAUUAAAUUCAUAUUAUUCAUAGUAUAAUAUUCAGCUGAGUUCAGCUGAGAUGAAAAGGAAUUUUCCCUUUUGGCAAGACAAUGACCCAAAGCAUACAUUCAAACCAACAAAGGAACGGGUUAACAAAAAGAUCAAUGUUUUUGAAUUACCUAGUCAGAGUCCAGACCUGAAUCCCUCUAAAAAUCAGCCUGUGUACAGGAGAAGCCCUUACAAAUUGAUGGACCUAAAAUGUUUUCAGAAGAAAGAGCUGGAAAAUAUUGCCAAGUUCAAGAUGUGCCAUGCUGAUAGACUCUUACCCAAAAUUACUGAGUGCUGUAAUAAAAUUAAAAGGUGCUUCAACAAAGUAUUAGUUUAGGGGUGUGCACACUUAUGCAACCAGGCUAUUGUAAGUUUUUUCUUUUUCUUUUUUUCUCUAAAAAGUUUCUGAUUGUUUUUCACUUUAUUUGUAUACUUUGCAAUUUCACAUUAAAGGUGGGAAAAGUUUUGA